CAUCUUCGGGGCAGGGUGUGAUUCCCAACCGGCAGUAAAUAAAGCCUGCGACCUAUUUAUCUUUUAAAGAUAGAUGGCUGAUCUAGUGCGAAUCUAGAGCCGACAGUAUAGUCUGGAUGGGAGAAGAUG
This 129-nucleotide non-coding RNA is filed under the name Staphylococcus nepalensis. RNAcentral's name for it is "FMN riboswitch (RFN element)". It matches the Rfam family "FMN riboswitch aptamer (RFN element)". From Rfam's summary of the family: The RFN element is a highly conserved domain that is found frequently in the 5'-untranslated regions of prokaryotic mRNAs that encode for flavin mononucleotide (FMN) biosynthesis and transport proteins. This element is a metabolite-dependent riboswitch that directly binds FMN in the absence of proteins. Lineage: Bacteria; Bacillati; Bacillota; Bacilli; Caryophanales; Staphylococcaceae. The record is from RNAcentral.